This 305-nucleotide ribosomal RNA is filed under the name uncultured bacterium. RNAcentral describes it as "bacterial SSU rRNA". It matches the Rfam family "Bacterial small subunit ribosomal RNA", at positions 334 to 636 of the family's 1533-position model. The record is from RNAcentral.
CCGGCCUACGGGGCGCAGUAGUGAGGAAUAUUGGUCAAUAGGCGGAAGCCUGAACCAGCCAAGUCGCGUGAGGGAAUAAGGCCCUACGGGUCGUAAACCUCUUUUGCCGGGGAGCAAGGGCCGGGACGCGUCCCGGCCCGGAGAGUACCCGGAGAAAAAGCAUCGGCUAACUCCGUGCCAGCAGCCGCGGUAAUACGGAGGCUGCGAGCGUUAUCCGGAUUUUUUGGGUUUAAAGGGUGCGUAGGCGGGCUUUUAAGUCAGCGGUAAAAAUUCGGGGCUAAACCCCGUCCGGCCGUUGAAACUGG